RNAcentral lists this ribosomal RNA (304 nucleotides) under uncultured bacterium. RNAcentral describes it as "partial 16S ribosomal RNA". It matches the Rfam family "Bacterial small subunit ribosomal RNA", at positions 506 to 807 of the family's 1533-position model. The record is from RNAcentral.
CAGCAGUAGCCGCGGUAACACGGAGGGUGCAAGCGUUAAUCGGAAUUACUGGGCGUAAAGCGCACGCAGGCGGUCUGACAAGUCAGAUGUGAAAUCCCCGGGCUUAACCUGGGAACUGCAUUUGAAACUGUCAGGCUGGAGUCUUGUAGAGGGGGGUGGAAUUCCAGGUGUAGCGGUGAAAUGCGUAGAGAUCUGGAGGAAUACCGGUGGCGAAGGCGGCCCCCUGGACAAAGACUGACGCUCAGGUGCGAAAGCGUGGGGAGCAAACAGGAUUAGAUACCCGAGUAGUCCCUGUCUCUUAUAC